CCUAAUUCAACACUUGAUACAGAGCCUAAUUAUUUUAUAAACUAACUACUUAUAUCAGACCCUAUAUACAUAUAUUUCAAAAAGAAACCUACCUAAAAUUAUCAAUAAUAUAUGUAAUCGAUUGAAUCUGAGAUAAAGAUUCAGGAAGCUGGAAUCAGAAAAGAAAAUACCAAUUUUGAGAUGUAGAUGGUAUAACCCAUUAAGCAAAAGCCUGAGCAGUAUAUACAAAUAAUUGAACAAAACAACCCCUAUAGCCCCAAAAUCAUUUCAUAUACUAAUAAUAUACACAAAGGCAAUUACAGAUUAAUGGAAGCUUUUCCCUAAAGAGGUUCAAACCAGUUGUUCAACAGAUUGUGGGUGAAAGAUUUCACAGGUCAAUUAUUCCCUUCUAAAGUACUCGAAAGAAGGAACAUAAAAAUUUUUUUAAAAAGAAAUGUGAGAUAAAAUUACUCACAAAGAAAAAAAGGGAAAAAAAAAAUCGAAAAGAAGAAGAAGAGGACAAGUAUUUAACAUGAGAUUACUGAGAGAAAGUGGGAGAAGUCGAAGAUGACAAAUUAAGAAAAAUAUAUUAAAGAACCACGAAAUGACAUCCGCCCAUUAGACUAGACUGCCAUCAGCUCGUAGGACUCGAACCGGAACUAGACCCGGCGCCGGAGCUAGAGCUGGAGCCAGAAAGCAGUUCAGCGAGAGCGCUCAUGGCUCGAACUUGCAUCUCCAAAGCAGCUAUAUAGUCAGUCGCUUCUUCUAGGAUAACAGGCAACGGUUGUUUCCGGCAACCAGGAACCAACCGGCCCAGAACACUCACUUUCCUUUGUACAGCUGGUAAACUCUUCCCUUUCAACCUCAAAACGCUAACUCUCGGCUUCUUCGAUCGGCUAGUU
Molecule: unclassified non-coding RNA, 881 nt
Filed under: Hevea brasiliensis (rubber tree)
Lineage: Eukaryota; Viridiplantae; Streptophyta; Magnoliopsida; Malpighiales; Euphorbiaceae
Source: RNAcentral